GUCGACGAUGAAGCCCUUCGGGGUGGAUUAGUGGCGAACGGGUGAGUAACACGUGGGCAAUCUGCCCUUCACUCUGGGACAAGCCCUGGAAACGGGGUCUAAUACCGGAUAAUACCUGCCUGGGCAUCUGGGUGGGUUGAAAGCUCCGGCGGUGAAGGAUGAGCCCGCGGCCUAUCAGCUUGUUGGUGAGGUAGUGGCUCACCAAGGCGACGACGGGUAGCCGGCCUGAGAGGGCGACCGGCCACACUGGGACUGAGACACGGCCCAGACUCCUACGGGAGGCAGCAGUGGGGAAUAUUGCACAAUGGGCGAAAGCCUGAUGCAGCGACGCCGCGUGAGGGAUGACGGCCUUCGGGUUGUAAACCUCUUUCAGCAGGGAAGAAGCGAGAGUGACGGUACCUGCAGAAGAAGCGCCGGCUAACUACGUGCCAGCAGCCGCGGUAAUACGUAGGGCGCAAGCGUUGUCCGGAAUUAUUGGGCGUAAAGAGCUCGUAGGCGGCUUGUCACGUCGGGUGUGAAAGACCGGGGCUUAACCCCGGUUCUGCAUUCGAUACGGGCUAGCUAGAGUGUGGUAGGGGAGAUCGGAAUUCCUGGUGUAGCGGUGAAAUGCGCAGAUAUCAGGAGGAACACCGGUGGCGAAGGCGGAUCUCUGGGCCAUUACUGACGCUGAGGAGCGAAAGCGUGGGGAGCGAACAGGAUUAGAUACCCUGGUAGUCCACGCCGUAAACGGUGGGAACUAGGUGUUGGCGACAUUCCACGUCGUCGGUGCCGCAGCU
Molecule: ribosomal RNA, 776 nt
Filed under: Streptomyces olivochromogenes
Lineage: Bacteria; Bacillati; Actinomycetota; Actinomycetes; Kitasatosporales; Streptomycetaceae
Description: bacterial SSU rRNA
Rfam family: Bacterial small subunit ribosomal RNA
Source: RNAcentral